CAGACAGGACACAGGCCAGUCAUGAUGGCUGCACUUCAACUCUUAGGGCUGCUGCUGCUUUGGGUCCCAGCCAUGAGAUGUGACAUCCAGAUGACCCAGUCUCCUUCACUCCUGUCAGCAUCUGUGGGAGACAGAGUCACUCUCAACUGCAAAGCAAGUCAGAAUAUUAACAAGUACUUAGACUGGUAUCAGCAAAAGCUUGGAGAAGCUCCCAAACGCUUGAUAUAUAAUGCAAACAGUUUGCAGACAGGCAUCCCAUCAAGGUUCAGUGGCAGUUGAUCUGGUACAGAUUACACACUCACCAUCAGCAGCCUGCAGCCUGAAGAUUUUGCCACAUAUUUCUGCUUGCAGCAUAAUAGUUUGCCCCACGGUGAUACAAACCAUAACAUAAACCACCCAGAGAUGCAGAUGUGUGAGUGUGGGUUUUCACAGCUGUUCUUUUGGUUCCACUACUGA
Rattus rattus (black rat) is the source of this 456-nucleotide non-coding RNA. NCBI's taxonomy places the organism in Eukaryota, Metazoa, Chordata, Mammalia, Rodentia, Muridae. The record is from the annotation of a RefSeq genome assembly.